AAAAUGCGAUAAGUAAUGUGAAUUGCAGAAUUCAGUGAAUCAUCGAAUCUUUGAACGCACAUUGCGCCCGCCAGUAUUCUGGCGGGCAUGCCUGUUCGAGCGUCAUUUCAACCCUCAAGCCCCCGUGUUUGGUGUUGGGGAUCGGGCUGCGGUUCUACCGCGUCCCGGCCCCGAAAUCUAGUGGCGGUCUCGCUGCAGCCUCCAUUGCGUAGUAGCUAACACCUCGCAACUGGAACGCGGCGCGGCCAAGCCGUUAAACCCCCAACUUCUGAAUGUUGACCUCGGAUCAGGUAGGAAUACCCGCUGAACUUAAGC
Molecule: unclassified non-coding RNA, 315 nt
Filed under: plant metagenome
Description: partial contains 5.8S ribosomal RNA, internal transcribed spacer 2, and large subunit ribosomal RNA
Rfam family: 5.8S ribosomal RNA (bases 1-105)
Source: RNAcentral